Molecule: ribosomal RNA, 253 nt
Filed under: uncultured bacterium
Lineage: Bacteria
Description: partial 16S ribosomal RNA
Rfam family: Bacterial small subunit ribosomal RNA
Source: RNAcentral
UACAGAGGGGGCAAGCGUUGUUCGGAAUUACUGGGCGUAAAGGGCGCGUAGGCGGCCCUCUAAGUCAGACGUGAAAUCCCUCGGCUCAACCGGGGAACUGCGUCUGAGACUGGAAGGCUUGAAUCCGGGAGAGGGAUGCGGAAUUCCAGGUGUAGCGGUGAAAUGCGUAGAUAUCUGGAGGAACACCGGUGGCGAAGGCGGCAUCCUGGACCGGCAUUGACGCUGAGGCGCGAAAGCCAGGGGAGCAAACGGG